AUGCGAAACACCCGCCCAUGCGGGUGUCUGCCAGGCGUGGCGGCCUGGCACUGACGAGCAGCCACAA
This 67-nucleotide non-coding RNA is filed under the name Cupriavidus gilardii. Lineage: Bacteria; Pseudomonadati; Pseudomonadota; Betaproteobacteria; Burkholderiales; Burkholderiaceae. The record is from RNAcentral.